RNAcentral lists this ribosomal RNA (253 nucleotides) under uncultured Actinomycetes bacterium. RNAcentral describes it as "uncultured actinobacterium partial 16S ribosomal RNA". It matches the Rfam family "Bacterial small subunit ribosomal RNA", at positions 524 to 776 of the family's 1533-position model. The record is from RNAcentral. Lineage: Bacteria; Bacillati; Actinomycetota; Actinomycetes.
GACGUAGGGGACGAGCGUUGUCCGGAUUCAUUGGGCGUAAAGAGCGCGUAGGCGGCCACGCAAGUCGGUUGUGAAAACCCGGGGCUCAACCCCGGGCCUGCAUCCGAUACUGCGUGGCUAGAGGUAGGUAGGGGAGAUCGGAAUUCCUGGUGUAGCGGUGAAAUGCGCAGAUAUCAGGAGGAACACCGGUGGCGAAGGCGGAUCUCUGGGCCUUACCUGACGCUGAGGCGCGAAAGCUAGGGGAGCGAACAGG